This is a non-coding RNA of Myodes glareolus (Bank vole), 463 nucleotides long. Lineage: Eukaryota; Metazoa; Chordata; Mammalia; Rodentia; Cricetidae. The record is from RefSeq and is a predicted model, not a curated record.
GCCAGCCACCAGGUCAGACAUGCUGAAUCUUUCCCGGUGGAUUGGCUGCAACACACAAUGUCUGUCUGCGUCAAAUGUGGAACUGGAGGUAGCUCCUCCCCCAUUAGGAUCUGAUGAAAUCCAGACAGAGAAAGUUCUGACAGGGACCCCGCCCACGGGAUGAUGUCACCCACACUCAGGAGCCCCUGCCCACGGGAUGACUGUGGGGGCCCACAGAAGUGGAUCCAUUUCACCUUGACUAAAGGUCAGAUAGUUCAGGCCUAGUCUUGCUCUUUCAAGGUUAUUGACAGAAGAUUUAACUUAAGGUGUGGCUACUAACAGGAAGUCUUGGCCUAGGGUGUGGUUAUUUGGUGUUUUGGGUUUUAAGAUGGUAAUCAUUUUGCUCCUUGUAACAAGAUAAAAAAAGUCUUUCGCUUUCUUCCCCUCUAGUGGAUUGGGGUGUUUAAAGAUCAUAAGAAAUAAA